This 243-nucleotide ribosomal RNA is filed under the name Triticum aestivum (bread wheat). RNAcentral describes it as "partial small subunit ribosomal RNA". The record is from RNAcentral. Lineage: Eukaryota; Viridiplantae; Streptophyta; Magnoliopsida; Poales; Poaceae.
AUGUGUGUCUCAAAAGACCAAGGAGGUAUGUGCUUCUGAGAUAUACACUAUUUCAAUCUGGCUUUGUUAGCCAGCUAAGCAUGGCGUUUUCUUGAUAAUCCUGAUUUCUUACGUGACACUAUCUUAAGAUCUAAAUAUUUUCCGAGUGGCAAUUUAAUGAAUGCAAGUCUAAAAACGAUUUCCUAUUUUACUUGGCAAAGCAUUGUGGCGGGAGUUAAUUCUCUCCAAAAUGGUUAUAUCUAG